RNAcentral lists this ribosomal RNA (459 nucleotides) under uncultured bacterium. RNAcentral describes it as "partial 16S ribosomal RNA". It matches the Rfam family "Bacterial small subunit ribosomal RNA", at positions 338 to 795 of the family's 1533-position model. The record is from RNAcentral.
CCUACGGGAGGCAGCAGUGAGGAAUAUUGGUCAAUGGCCGCAAGGCUGAACCAGCCAAGUCGCGUGAGGGAUGACGGUCCUAUGGAUUGUAAACCUCUUUUGUCAGGGAGCAAAGGGCGCCACGUGUGGCGCUUUGCGAGUACCUGAAGAAAAAGCAUCGGCUAACUCCGUGCCAGCAGCCGCGGUAAUACGGAGGAUGCGAGCGUUAUCCGGAUUUAUUGGGUUUAAAGGGUGCGCAGGCGGAAUGUCAAGUCAGCGGUAAAAUUUCGGGGCUCAACCCCGUCGUGCCGUUGAAACUGGCGUUCUUGAGUGAGCGAGAGGUAGGCGGAAUGCGUGGUGUAGCGGUGAAAUGCAUAGAUAUCACGCAGAACUCCGAUUGCGAAGGCAGCAUACCGGCGCUCAACUGACGCUCAUGCACGAAAGCGUGGGUAUCGAACAGGAUUAGAUACCCGGGUAGUC